Molecule: ribosomal RNA, 439 nt
Filed under: uncultured bacterium
Lineage: Bacteria
Description: partial 16S ribosomal RNA
Rfam family: Bacterial small subunit ribosomal RNA
Source: RNAcentral
CUACGGGCGGCACCAGUGAGGAAUAUUGCACAAUGGGGGGAACCCUGAUGCAGCAACGCCGCGUGGAGGAUGACGCAUUUCGGUGUGUAAACUCCUUUUAUAUGUCAAGAAGAUGACGGUAGCAUAUGAAUAAGCACCGGCUAACUCCGUGCCAGCAGCCGCGGUAAUACGGAGGGUGCAAGCGUUACUCGGAAUCACUGGGCGUAAAGGACGCGUAGGCGGGUUGGAAAGUCAGGUGUGAAAUCCUACAGCUUAACUGUAGAACUGCACUUGAAACUUCUAAUCUAGAGUAUGGGAGUGGGAGGUGGAAUUAGUGGUGUAGGGGUAAAAUCCGUAGAUAUCACUAGGAAUACCUAAAGCGAAGGCGAUCUCCUGGAACAUUACUGACGCUAAGGCGUGAAAGCGUGGGGAGCAAACAGGAUUAGAUACCCCAGUAGUC